Molecule: ribosomal RNA, 415 nt
Filed under: uncultured prokaryote
Description: bacterial SSU rRNA
Rfam family: Bacterial small subunit ribosomal RNA
Source: RNAcentral
GUGCCAGCCGCCGCGGUAAGACGGAGGAUGCAAGCGUUAUCCGGAAUUAUUGGGCGUAAAGCGUCCGUAGGCGGUUUAUCAAGUCUGCUGUCAAAGGCUGCAGCUCAACUGUGGAUCGGCAGUGGAAACUGAUGAACUGGAGUACGGUAGGGGUAGAGGGAAUUCCCAGUGUAGCGGUGAAAUGCGUAGAUAUUGGGAAGAACACCAGUGGCGAAGGCGCUCUACUGGGCCGUAACUGACGCUGAGGGACGAAAGCUAGGGGAGCGAAAGGGAUUAGAUACCCCUGUAGUCCUAGCUGUAAACGAUGGAUACUAGGUGUUGGACGUAUCGACCCGUUCGGUACCGCAGCCAACGCGAUAAGUAUCCCGCCUGGGGAGUACGCACGCAAGUGUGAAACUCAAAGGAAUUGACGGGG